Long non-coding RNA from Vigna unguiculata (cowpea), 1022 nucleotides. The record is from RefSeq and is a predicted model, not a curated record. Lineage: Eukaryota; Viridiplantae; Streptophyta; Magnoliopsida; Fabales; Fabaceae.
AGACAUCAUUUCCUUUUCUCUUCCCACAGAGACACUCUCACAUUAAUGGCUACGGCGAUUGGAUCUGGACGGAAACCCCAUAAAACCAAUCACCAUCUACAUGAUAGGUGCCAGUGGCUUCAUUGGGUGUCACCUCUGCGAGAAGCUCAUGAAUGAAACUCCUCACAAGGUUUUUGCUUUGCAACAACGGCAAAACCAAACACCUUCUUGAAACGCGACACGCUCCCCUGUGCUGGUCGCAUCCAAUUCUAUUGCCUUAACAUCGAUUCUCGACUUGAGAGUCUCAUCAAGAUUGCAGAUCUGGUUUCACUCUUUAUCUUAUAAAAAUGCAAUCUUUUUUGUUUUUGUUUGAGACACAAUUGGGUUCCCGCGGAUUACAACACUCGCCCUCUCGACACCAUUUACAACAACUUUAUCUUGAGAGUCUCGUCAAGAUUGCAGAUCUGGUUUCACUCUCUGUUCGUUCCAUCAUAAAAAUGCAAUCUUUUUUCUUUUCCAACCAAUAACGUGGCUGUUCGUUUCAUCUUGAGUUUUUUUUCUUUCAUAAUGUUGUUUCAUUGUGGUGUUAGGAUCCUGCAUACUACGUAGUGAAGGAGGAUGAGUCUCCUUAUUUUUUGGUUCGAUUGAAAAGCAGAGAUGGUCAUACUAAGCUGUUUUCUAUUUACUCUUUGUGUAAAGACUUAAAAUAAUUUCAUGAAUUGAUUUUUGUCUCACUGAGAUGGUGUUGUUGACAGCUGAGGGCGGUUAAAAUGGAUUGUAAUUCACAAUUGGAGUCCUUUUAAUUGGAUUGGACCACGAAUGGAUUUCAUUCCCGGCAUUGAUGGUCCAAGUGAGGGUGUUCCUCGGGUUCUGUCAUGCUCUAAUAAAUCUCCUCUGUGGUUGGCCAAUCCCAGAGAACCUUUGUGUAUAUUAAGGAUGCUACUGAAGCUCUGUCUUCUUGAUGAUUGUAGGUUCCCAUAUCCUUAAUGUGACUUUAUGAUUUUAAGUGCAUAUUAUUUGAUUGCAGAAGUUCAUCUUUGAAC